This 253-nucleotide ribosomal RNA is filed under the name uncultured bacterium. RNAcentral describes it as "partial 16S ribosomal RNA". It matches the Rfam family "Bacterial small subunit ribosomal RNA", at positions 524 to 776 of the family's 1533-position model. The record is from RNAcentral.
GACGGAAGGUGCAAGCGUUGCUCGGAAUCACUGGGCGUAAAGGGUGCGUAGGCGGCUUGGUGGGUCUGGUGUGAAAGCCCCGGGCUCAGCCCGGGAAGGGCACUAGAAACUGCCAAGCCGGAGUGCCGGAGGGGAGAGUGGAAUUCCUGGUGUAGCGGUGAAAUGCGCAGAUAUCAGGAGGAACACCGAUUGCGAAGGCAGCUCGCUGGGACGUAACUGACGCUGAGACGCGAAAGCGUGGGGAGCAAACAGG